Molecule: ribosomal RNA, 485 nt
Filed under: uncultured bacterium
Lineage: Bacteria
Description: partial 16S ribosomal RNA
Rfam family: Bacterial small subunit ribosomal RNA
Source: RNAcentral
AUUGAACGCUGGCGGCAUGCCUUACACAUGCAAGUCGAACGGCAGCACGGGUGCUUGCACCUGGUGGCGAGUGGCGAACGGGUGAGUAAUACAUCGGAACAUGUCCUGUAGUGGGGGAUAGCCCGGCGAAAGCCGGAUUAAUACCGCAUACGAUCCACGGAUGAAAGCGGGGGACCUUCGGGCCUCGCGCUAUAGGGUUGGCCGAUGGCUGAUUAGCUAGUUGGUGGGGUAAAGGCCUACCAAGGCGACGAUCAGUAGCUGGUCUGAGAGGACGACAGCCACACUGGGACUGAGACACGGCCCAGACUCCUACGGGAGGCAGCAGUGUGGAAUUUUGGACAAUGGGCGAAAGCCUGAUCCAGCAAUGCCGCGUGUGUGAAGAAGGCCUUCGGGUUGUAAAGCACUUUUGUCCGGAAAGAAAUCCUUGACUCUAAUACAGUCGGGGGAUGACGGUACCGGAAGAAUAAGCACCGGCUAACUACGUG